Daphnia carinata is the source of this 2320-nucleotide long non-coding RNA. RefSeq lists it as uncharacterized. The record is from RefSeq and is a predicted model, not a curated record. Lineage: Eukaryota; Metazoa; Arthropoda; Branchiopoda; Diplostraca; Daphniidae. The transcript has 11 exons.
CUCUCAGUGAAGAACCACCACUCGGAAUGGCUGACACGCGUUCUGGACAUUGUCCUGGUCCUGCAAGAGCGUCUUUCGGCUUCCCCACUUUGGAAUCAGAAAACUAUUCGGUGGAAAGCAUUUGCUUUAUCUGUGAACUUCCCGCCUAAAACUGCCUGAACGUAAAAUGGUUUCUCUGCCAAGCAUGGUCAACGUACAUGUAUAAGCUCAUGAGUGAAUGGUUGCUCAGUUCUUCAUACAAGAGUUAUUAUUCCUGAGGUUCAGGUCAAUCUCCUCAUAAAUCAUCAUUGUCAUUGGCUGGAAUGGUGGAUUGAGAUCUUCUACCACCCUUGUGUUUCAUGUUACUGUCAACUGUACAAGGCCGGCCCAGCAGACUAUUGAAGACGCCCAACAUAAGCACUGUAGCAGGGAAUGUGUUGAAAAUUUACGAGGUUAAACGGAAACCCAUGUUGGUAACAGUCCUUUGACAUUCUCAGCACACAACAUGACAAAUCAGCAGUUCGACCGUUGUAGAUUUCCUAGGGAUAGUAGAGUUGCUGGAACUAUUUUCUCGCCCCGCCAUUUUGAGGGAAAGAUGGCCGAACUCUUGCCGUCAACCAAUAAAUUUUGAGGAGAGCAGGCUGAUUAGAGGAAGGAUUUGGAGUCGCUCAUUUCAGUGGUCAGCGGGUGUAAGUUAGAACAAAGUAAGAAUUCUAGGGUAAAGAACAUUGUUGAAGAAGAAAGCACGGAUAUCUAAAUCUAGCUCGUAUAUGGUUGUCAUUUACUGUGGGGUGAGAUGGAUCAUGUUGCCAAUUGAAAUGUUGUCAAUGUUGCUGUUGCAUUGGACAAACGGGUGGUGUUUAACAAAUGGAUGUGAAAGUUACACAAGCCAUAAUGGUAUUCAUGUAAAAGACUUAACAGCCAUGAAGAUGACAACUCAAAUAAACCUGUUGGACUGAAGGUGGUUGGUGAAGAAAAAAGGUCUUGUUCCAUUUCCAUACCAUCUUCUAAAAAAAACGAUUAAACAAAAGCACGUACGUCUAUUUUCUUUCAACGGCCGUAGUAGCAAAUCUGUUGUUGAAGGUCAACGUCGUGAAGUUCAUCUUUGUCGGACGCCCGUCAGCAGUACUGAGCUGCUCCUUCCUAAGAUGUUUUGUUGCAUAAAUUGCACGGCAAGGAGGAUUGAGAUAUCCGAGUGUUAAUGGAUAAGGAUAGUUACGCACAUAACCACCAGGGAAUAGGUGGAUUAGAUGAUUGUUCCGGGAAUUUGCAUCUGCUAUACAUAUACGACGAUUAUUCGGAUCGGGAAUGAUAGGUGGAAUGGAAUGAGAGCUUGUUUGAUAUGGGACAAAAUGGAAAUCUGACUAAAAACAUGAAAGCUGUGAGGAUGGGAUUUCUGUCUUUGAAAUGGUUGUUACAUUGCCGUGUGAAUGUACCCUGCACAUCUGUUUUCAGUCUGUCAUCUGUCGGCAGAUUAUUGAAGACGCCCAACGUAGGCACCGUAGUAGUGAAUGUGAUGAAAGCAAGGACUACACCAUUCGCGUUUUGAUGUCGUUAUUAAGUUCCAUUUUUUCUUAUUUAUUCGUAGCUGGGCCUAAUUUGUCGUUACGUGAAUUGUUUUCAUCAGGGUUAAACUACUAAAUACUACUUUUCCUAUCAUAUAUUAUACUACUAAUACAUACGGUAGGUAUUAAUUUACAAUAUUUCACCAUUUGUGUCGUAUACUUGUAAAUGUUUUAUUUAACAGAUUAUUGUUGCGGAGUCAACUACUAUGCAGAUUGGAGAAUUCCGGUUUAUUGUAUCGAAGUUGUGAGCGAUGAAUGGGGCAAUUAUUUAUUUGUCAAACAAUUGAAUGUUUUCAUGUCAUUUGUAGGUGUUGUUUUGCCAGUCGAGAACUUGAUAUUAUUCAAGCAGUAAUCAUAGUCUAGUGAUAUUUAAAACAGGUGUGUCUUUCUCUGAUGGAAGUAGUAUGGCAAAGAUUGAUAAUAAUCUUCAUAUAGUCGGAUCAUUUGUUAAGCGAAAGAGAUUUCUUGGAUUAAUCAUCACCAAUUAGAUCAAUUUGAAAGGAUGGUAUACGGAGAGGAAAGUUAUUGGAAAUUAAGAGGGUAGAAGAAAAAUGUUCGAAUCCGUUUGCUGUUCGAAGUCGUUGCAAAUAUUAAGAAAUUAUGAAAAUUUGUAUAAUUAUGUGAGAAUUUUGUGCAAUUGUUACCUAAAAUGUUUAAUAGUUUCUUGGUUGUUUUCCAAUCGCCAUUCCGUGGCUGGCCGUUGGUUAGCAGCUUUAGUAUUUGUUACUAUUCCAUUAUUAACUUUCACGCAGCCAAUAACAGGUGUGUUAUAUUAA